GGGCGUAUAGCUCAGUUGGCUAGAGCUCCUGGUUUACAUCCAGGCGGUCGGGGGUUCGAGUCCCUCUGCGCCCA
RNAcentral lists this transfer RNA (74 nucleotides) under Acidimicrobiaceae bacterium. RNAcentral's name for it is "tRNA-Val". It matches the Rfam family "tRNA". Rfam says of the family: Transfer RNA (tRNA) molecules are approximately 80 nucleotides in length. Their secondary structure includes four short double-helical elements and three loops (D, anti-codon, and T loops). Further hydrogen bonds mediate the characteristic L-shaped molecular structure. tRNAs have two regions of fundamental functional importance: the anti-codon, which is responsible for specific mRNA codon recognition, and the 3' end, to which the tRNAs corresponding amino acid is attached (by aminoacyl-tRNA synthetases). tRNAs cope with the degeneracy of the genetic code in two manners: having more than one tRNA (with a specific anti-codon) for a particular amino acid; and 'wobble' base-pairing, i.e. permitting non-standard base-pairing at the 3rd anti-codon position. The record is from RNAcentral. Lineage: Bacteria; Bacillati; Actinomycetota; Acidimicrobiia; Acidimicrobiales; Acidimicrobiaceae.